Gasterosteus aculeatus aculeatus (three-spined stickleback) is the source of this 16633-nucleotide long non-coding RNA. The record is from Ensembl. Lineage: Eukaryota; Metazoa; Chordata; Actinopteri; Perciformes; Gasterosteidae.
AUGACGGGUAACUGGUGUAUGAUCAGCGGGUUAUUCUUUGGCAUCUCACUCUUUCGGGCUUUCAAAUGAAUCCAAAGCGGUUGAUCACCUGAUCAUCUUUCGUCUAUCGUUUGGCGAAAAGGCCAAACGCCAGCUUGAGGCAUUUGCAGCCACAUAUUUCUGAAAGAAUAUUGAGCAAACCAUCUACCCCCUCGCCUCAUAUCCACAAAGAAAUCCCCAAGGGCUCCGGCUCUCCAGAGGAAAUGAGAGGUUUGAGAUGUCUCCGCUGAUAAAGCGGCCGGCCUGUCAGCGUGUGUUUACUCGGCGGCUCGCUCUCUCGGCUUCCCCAGGUCUUUGCCCGGCCUUCUGCUUAGCGCAGCGUGAGAUAAACCGUUAAAACGAAAGCUGUUUUCCUUUUUUCCCCCCCUCACUCGUGUAUGAAGUCAUUCAUUACCUGUCUGAGUGUUUUAUCCGCUCUUUGGGCUCUGCAUUAAUUCCGUGGCGGGUGAAUUCAUAUUUCCAGCACUUAGGUCGAAAUUUUUGUGACAGCUUAAUUUAUGUCCUUGUAAAAAUCUUUCCAGAAGAGUUGAGGUUGUCCAAGCAACUGAGGCCAAGAUCUGAAAUGUGUUAGGACUUUGUGUCGAGAGAAGGGGACAAUCAAAGCAGCGUUUUAGUAAGUAACCCCCCCUGGUUUGAGUUCCACGUCACAUUCCAUAACACAGACGUCUUGCAGCUUUUAGUUACGUACUUUGCGGCAGUUCCUAGAUAUUUCGACAACUUCUUGCCAUGUAUUUUGUGCAAGAUGAUAUUUUUAUUUCGUAAUUUGCUAUAAUGCUAAUCCUAUAUUCACAUGCCAAUCUAGUUUCCAGCGCUUCAGAUAAUUGUAUCAGUUUCAGAUAAUCCCGGCUAUGGGAAAAGGCCAGAACAAAGAUUGCUGCGCUCACAUUUCAUAAUUGUACAUAUAGUGCGGCCAUGUUCCCCCCAUUUCUUUAUCUUAAAGAUGCAUUUUUAAUAUAAAAAUGAUGGGUUGCUCACAGAACUUGACCCACAAAUUGAGCAUUCUACCAUGUCAUCUGUCAUCAACCUUUUCUCCAUCCACUGGCUUUCUUCAGCCAAAAUGGUUUAACAGACUCACUGUUAGCGAUACCCAUCAAUCACCUGAUGGCAGACGGAUGAUCGGAACCUUGGUCUCCCUUUUUCUUUCCACCCUGCACUCCACAGACUUUCAGUACAUCCCUGGCUGAUGCCAGUAGCAGAGGGUUUCCCACCAUGCGGCAGUGGCUGGCUGUUUCUCUGAGUGACCGUAGUGAUAGACUUCAGAAGGAGGUGCAGGCUCCAUAACGCGUGCUCUCUGAGGCAGGGUGACGUGCAGCGGUCUGCUGUGGCACCGCGCUCUGCCGUUAGUGGAGCCUGUGACACCGAUGGACUCUUUAGACCGUUUAAGAAGACUGGCCCCCGUAACGGGCUGCAGGCCAGACGCCAGACGAAGCUGCAGCGGAGAGGAGGACGCUGAAAAAACUGCGACCCAUUGUGGAGAAUCCUGACCGCCGUCUCCACCGCCUGCAGCAAAAACAGCCUGGAUCCCCUUCGCUGUCACAAGGACCGUCGGAAAACCUGUUUGUAUAAAUGUGUAUGAAAAUCUUGAACAUACAAAUUCGUAACAAUACAUAGGAACUGGCGGUGGUUGACCACGCCCCUUGAGUGAACAACAUGGCGGACCAUGUCGGAUUCUUGAGUGAACGUCUCUCCGCCAUGUUGGAUUGUUUGAGGGGGUUAGGGUUAGUAUUCUAUUCUUACAAGUUAACAUUGAUUUCUCGUUAAAAAUGCAAUCAUAACACGUUUAUUUUACAUCGUUAGACUAAGUGUGUUUACGGGGUGCAGGUCCCCAUUCACUAUGAAUAGGGUGACGUCAUCAGGUGCGGUCCGUAUUUAUUUAGUAUGUAUCAUUACGAAUUUGUAUCUUCAAGAUUUUCGUAUACAUUUAUACAAACAGGUUUUAGAGAUCCGGCUGCAAUAAUACCACAAGGCUCUACAGAAACGUUGCACAUGACAUAAUGUUGAUGGAGCACUCACUUGAUACAGAAACAGGAGCUGAUGUAAGAAAGGAAAGAAUUUGAAAUAUAUCGAUCAGACAGGACAAAUCUACUACAUAUCAUACUUUAUUAUACAGUGUUUUGCCGACAAACACACCAAAUCAACAACAAGCUCGACCUCAGCGGGGAGACAGGAUAUCUAACUCGUUUAAAUUCCUCGCUCUCGCCCCCACCGGGUCUACACAGAGGAAUCUCAGGCCUACCCAAUAAAACAGAGUUGUGUUUGUACGACUCCCGACCACCUACGGCUGCUUUUCACAUUAACGAAUACUGUACAUUCCUCCAAAUGUUAAACACAACACUGUCCCGAACGCACGCACAUAGACGCCGCAACGCCGGCGUGCGAGCGCGUUGGCGCACGGCGCAUAAAUCUGGUGAGCCAGAAAGAUGUGAUAACUGUGGAGGCAAGUGUGCAAAUGAGUGCUUGCGAGCCUGUGUGUGUGUGUGUGUGUGUGUGUGUGUGUGUCAUUAGCGACAAACACCGCCCACCACGCCAUGAGAGCCAGGCAUAACAGCUGGAGCCAGGCAACAAACAUCUGUCAGUCGCGACGUCAGACGCGCACACCUACUGUCUCUACCCCACCUGUGUGUGUGUGUGUGUGUUUAUCUGUGUAGGAGGGUUGUGUGACUGUACAGGCAUCAGUUUGACCCCCCGGCCACGCCUUCCAGAUGCCCGACAAACAGGGGUCGUGAGGUCAUAUCCACCCUCAGCGCUGGUAUCAGCUGGAGUGUGAUUGGUUGAGUGAGGGCAUCGCUCAUGUAAACAAAUACAGUGCAGACUUUCUGUCUCUGAGUUUGUCCAUGUACGUAAUCCUUUGCUGCACUAGAGAGCAAAAGCAGCAGCGGGUGAGUCAUUUGGAGGCCCAAAAAGAUACUUCAGGGACUUUAUUCCCCAUCCUAUUCAAUUAAAAGUGCACCGUGUGCAACGGGUUUGUUCUCCUGCAAACCCAGUCGCACCGAUCACCCAUUGUCACGGAUGAGACGUGAGUCUCUGUGCGUCACGCGCCGGCUCGCACAGUCGAGCGCUCUCCCUGGCCGCCCCCCUCAGCGCGUAUUCAACCCGCUCUCCCCGAAAAGGAAAACUGCCUCCACUCGGCCUUUAUCGGACAGGCGAGUCAGCAGUCAGCGGGACAAGUGGAUUUCCUGUCCUGCUAUCAUUUCCCUCUCUGUGUCCCUCUUUCCCGUCCUGCCAGGAACAAAACUGGUGAACUGAAAUGUACAGAAACACACAGCACGUCAGGCCUUUGUUGUUAUGUGGAAACCUUUUACAGAUGGUGUUUAUUUGAUUUGCCUUUUAAAAAACAAAUCAUCUUUAUUUCUGGGAUAUAGAAGCGUAGGACAGGAACUACAGUUUAUUAGUUAAGAAUGGAAGUCUUGCUAUUUGCAAUCCUACUGCCCAUCAUUUUUCACUGUGUGUGUGAGAGUUUCAAAGGACUCUUUUUGUUGGUUCCACAUUUGUGCGUGAAAGGGAGGGAACGUGUGUUUGCCUUGUGUGGUUUUCCUCCGUCUGUGGAGGGCUCGCCUCGGCCUCCUUCAUGCUCAGCCAUCUAUAUUCAAAGUAAGGAGAAGUCUCUCCAAUGCUGGCCGGGUCAUCCUUGUAGAUGAGAAUUGGUUCUAAAUGGAUUUUACCUGGUUAAAUAAAGGUGAAAUAAAAUAAAAAGGAACUUGUAGGCGCUCGUGUUUGCAACAUGUGCAGUCAUGUUUGCAUGAUUGUUGGUUAAAUGGACAACAUGGACGUGUACUGUUGACGUCUCGAAGCCACGGAAGCUCAGCGUGUUGCAGAUCAGAGAGCAGAGGGGGGGAGGCCUUUUAACUUGUUUUUGAAAUUCAAGGGAAAUUUUCAACGUGUCUCUCAAGGUAAAAGAUCUGAGUUCCGAGAGGGGGAGAGCUAUGCCUCGGAGGUGUAGCGUUACCGAGGUGACCCACAGUCCCUCCCAACAGGUGGAAGAGAGGCCGGCUGUGCGUGUGCGUGUGCGUCAGGGGUCGGCGAGGUCAGGUGGGGGUUGCCUGGAUUCUUCCGUGCUAGUAUUUAGCGACGCUGCUGCAGACCCUGUGUUUUAACUGUGACAGCUGCUAAUCUCUCGCGCCCCUCCGACAAGCCGACUAACUGGAAAUAGAGGUGUGUGUGUGUGUGUGUGCGUGCGUGCGUGCUUGUGAAAUGUUGUCCUUGCUUGAACAUGAACCAAGUGAGCUGACACAGCAAAGUUCUCCUCGAUAGCCCGGGGAUAUAUUUGCUUUUCCCUCCGGGUAGCCAAGGCUUAAGACCCAUAUAUUACAUGAACUAAUGUCAAUACGGGAUAAAUAGGCACAUGGGCAGCUGUCUUACACCACGGCGCUUUCUCCGCAGCUGCUGAUGCUCGAUAGGCGGUGGAUUGUUGUUGAAAAUGUAUCCAUGCAUUAAAAACUUAUAGGAUACAGAGUUCUAUUCUAGACUGAAAAGAUAUUCAGUGAGACCAGAUUUAGGUGCACCGGGGCGCAAAGGUGAGUCAGCAAUUUUUGACAUACGUGUCAUAGAGUCAUUCGAUUUUUGGGGGGUUUUGGUUAGAUGCCAGAAGUAAUGUACAGAGAGUUAAAUGAGAUUACAAAAUGUCACGUCAAACACCAAUCCGCCCUUAUCUUGGUGGUGGUAACACACACAGUCUGGGACUCAGCUUUCGUCUGAUUUUAUUUUUGGAGGUGAUUGAUUUAUGAUUUGCGAAGCGUAAAUUCAACAAUGUGCUGUUUCUUUGUGAAGAUUACUUUGUUAAAUAGAACGUAAUCAAUGUCAUUAACCAGCAUUUAGCAGAGCUUAUUUGCUGCAAUUAUCCAAAAGAUGAUAAAUACAACGUUGGCGUUAGUUUCUUAAUAGUUUGUUUUUUUCAAAAAGUUCUUAAUUAGAAUAUUCUGAAACAGAACAUGUCGGUUGCGGGUCCAAUCAUCAAUGAGUGAGGGGAACGUGGGGCGAUUGUGGAAUUGCUUCACAUCCUAAUGAUUUUGCAAGUUUCCUGGCUUCAAAGUGGUUUCUGGUCUGUUUUUGAAAGACGCUGCAGAUAAGCGGCGUAUGUGCACUUCUGCGCCGACACUUUGCGAGUUAUCAACGUCAACAUCCUCGAGGGUUAGUAGCCGGCUGAGAGACACUCACAGCAGUAAUGCAUCAUCCAUUUCUUCGAUAGCAUCUGAAUGUCCUGGCAAGCCUCCAAAAGAAAACUCGCCAAACGUUGCUCAACUCGCCCGCUAUAUUUACGUCGACAUAGUCAGGACUGUUAUUGCAGCCCUUUGCCCACAAUUCUGUUUUUGAUGUAAUUAUGUGCUUGUUCAGCACAGAAUUUAAUGACAGCCUAGUCGUGUAUAUAUAUGCCACUCUCCUGCAGUCCCACUGUUCCUGUGACUCUGUCACGUGCCUGAGCGAGUGGCAUGAGCAGGGUGACUGAGUUCACAGUGUGUGUGUGUGUGUGUGUGUGUGUGUGUGAGAGAGAAAGAGAGAGAGAAGGAGGAGGAAGGAAGGAGGACGUAGACAGAAUAACCGGGGUUGGCUGACCACAGAGGAAUUUUCCCUGCAGGCAUCAAGGCCCACAGCUGAUCGCAGCACAUGGUAAUUAGUUACCUCAGUGUACACACACGCUACACACACACACACACACACACACACACACACACACACACACAAUUAAUACCAGUUUACAUUCAUAGACGAUCCUGAAACACUUCAGAAGCUGUGUGUAUGUGUGUGACCUGUCACCCUCACACACACACAUUGUUGGCUGGUCUUUGCACUCAAGGAACAUGGCGGUGCAGUCGGACUUUGUCACCCACAUGACAUUGCAGCGUGGAAAUGGGUCAGGCCGUAUUUGCAAAGCGCGCCGUAUUUGUUUUUCAACUUUGUGGAAUACAUCCGGGUGGAAUGGGCCAGAACCCGGGCCACACCGGACAGCGUCAGUCAAGGGCGUCUUGCUCUUAGGAGCAGCACGUGGGGUUCCAUAUGAAGCUCUACUCGUCACAAGAAGUAUAAACUGGAUGUCUUGCUGGAAAAUGUCCUUUUCUGCAAAGCACAUCUGAUCUCUAUCAUUAGGUCUCUAUAUAAUAAUGUUCAUAGAACGUAUCCUCUAUUGCAGUUCCAUUGUUUGUCACAGUAUUCUGCAAUAGGGAAAGAGACCGUCAACACGCCUGCACAAGAUUGAUAAACAGAUUGCUUAUUAUUUCUCAUUGAUUAAUAUGGUGGGGAUUUUUCAUUGAGACUUAUUGACUUCUAGUCUAGAAAUUGCACAAAAUAGAAAGUUCAAAUAUCAUUAUUUUCAAUACAAUUUAUUAAAAGCAACAGAAUCCGAUCACUUUGUACAGUUUACAUGUACCUCUCUGUGUGACAAGCAAUGUGUGGCAUUGAGGUGUUGACCAUCAUGAGACCGGAUCACGGCACUAUAAAAACACAACCACAUGACAUAUGUACACACGCACACACACACACACACUGGUUCAAUUGGAGACAUCACACCACCUCUCGCUUGGCCUUCAGGCCACACCCGUCGGUCCAGAUAGCAACAGACUUUCUUUGACGUCACAGCUGCCUUGACUCCUCCCUCCUCUCCCUAUAAUGCAGCUAAUUGAUCAUGAGACUCAGGGAGGGAGAGAGAGAGUAAACGAUGGAGACGCACAAAGAUACGUAAACAGACAUGGAAAAGGAGCCUGAGAAAAGCUAAAGGGCAGCACUUAGGGAUUGAGUUAAUUUAAGCUUAUUAAAUAACUUUUGACUUUUUACAAUUACUGUUGAAACAAGGCUGCAAAGACUUCAACAAAUGCCUUCUUUGUGGGUAUGUGUGUUCCUUACUGUGGAUUACUAAGAAGUUUGUGAAUUUCAAUAAUUCUUUGCUAAAAAUGUGAUAACAUUUUAACAUAUGUGGCUUCAUAGAAACAGACAUGUUUCUGGGUUCCCGGACCAAGAGAGAAAACAAGGUGAUAGUGAUCAUUUUAUAAUGUUGUAUAUAAGAGACGGCUGAAGGCUGAAGGUUGACUGACACGGAAAAAAUGUAAAGUCACAUUGCUAAAUACCAGAAUCCUUAAAAAAAGCACUUAACCGUAGCAUUGACAAACCACGAGAACACAAACCCAGUUGGUCGAACAUAGUAAAUCAAGAAAACUUGCUCAUGGAAUGUGACAAAGAAGAAGUUCCCACGAUGCUAUGAAAUCUAUUUAACAAAAUGUAGUUAACACAACGUCCAGAAUGUAGUGUGAACAUCAAUUGUUAAAGCGUGCGUGCGUGCGUGCGUGCGUGCGUGCGUGCGUGCGUGCGUGCGUGCGUGCGUGCGUGCGUGCGUGCGUGCGUGCACGUGUGCUGCAGGGUUGCACACUACCUGUUUAUGCAGGGAGACAGACAAUGAGCCAGUGGAGCAGCUUUUAUUGGUCACCCCAGGGUGCCCAGGUGAGCUUAAUCAAGCAGACAAGCAUGCUGAUUUUGACCAAACAGAAACCGCCUCCAUGACGCCUCGUUCACAGUCCUCGGAUUUGCCAUCUCACGCCCAUUUUCAAGUGUUACACUGCACGUGUUCCAAGGGAGCUUUCUAGACAGAUAUUUCAAACCCAAGGCAGAUAUAACAUGGCAUCACAUUUCUAAAUAGUACAAGUAUUAAACAAACAGUAUCAAGAUAAAGGCUGAAAAUACCGACAUUAAGUCACUAAUUUGUAUUUUUCAUUAUAAAGUUUUGUUGCUAGCCUUAUUGCUAACAGUGUGCUAACGCAUUAGCCCUGAUAAACAAAGUAUCUCCUCCACAAUGUGGCUUCUUUGUAACAUCCUCACAACACAAACAAAACCGCAAGGAGGCUGGGUUCAAGCUCAUUACACUGUCUAGCAGUCAGGAUGUUCACGUUACUCUCAUUAUAGCGUGCGUCACCCUCGGGUCAGCACGCCGACCUUUGACCUUUGCCCCCUUUUUUUAAUCUACUGCCCUGCGACUCACCUGACGAGGCUGAUCAGCUAACAUGAGACACACUUUGUACAGCGUGACCCGUUUGUACCCUGGAACCCACGGAAAGGAAAGGAAAAUGAGACGUGUAGUUGUGUCACAUGAUUAAAUUUGUCAUCCAGCUCGACGGCAUCGUCGCGUGACAUGUUUCUAUGAAUGUGCAACUGUUCCUUUUUUUUGUUUUGUUUGUGUGUCCCACCAUUAAAAACUGUUUCCUCAACCAUUCACAUUUUGCUUAUGCAGAACUUUAUGUCCAUUUGGCUUACUGCCAAAGGAACAUGCUCAUCAUUAUUUUCAUACAUGUGGCCCGCUCGGUGGAAAUUUGCACAUUACACAUUUGCAUGUGAAACCACCUAAAGAGGGGCAAUGCGGUUUAACCCUCAAAGCACUGACUCAUGCAGCUCCUCUUGCCUUCUGCACCUCUGCUAAGAAACGCCUUUAUCUUUCUGCUAAGGAGAUUUUGACCGAAAACUAGAGAGGGCCUUCCUCUUAUCCGCCUCAUGAUAAACCGGUUCCCUGACUCAGACCAUGUGUUCUCACUCCUUCUAGCCUGCACGCAACAAUACAUGAGUAUUCGUGUCCAUGCAAAUGGCUUUUCUAUGGGUUUUCUUUAGGCUCAUUGAAAACGUCCUGUUAUUCUGAUGAGAAAACUAGAACGUUAAUACCGUAGCUUUUAUGGGUUAUACUGGUCUGGAUGCCAUAAUACUGAAGAUUAAUAACAACGGAUAUUAAAAACAUUCAUGGGGCCAGCUAUACAAACUCAUGUUCUUUCCUGUGUGAAAGUGUAUGUGUAUGUUCAUACUUAUGCAAUCUCUAUUUUACUCAACACCAUUUUGUGGUACUUUUAGUUUAAUUGAGUUACUUCAGCUUUCUAAUCCAAUAGUAGAAAAUAUUGUAUGUACAUUUAUGAUACAGCUAGCUUGUUUAACAUUAAUAGAAAAGAACGAGGUUACUGGGGUGAGGUCAGUUUAGUUCACGUUGUGAACCAUUAAGCCUGUCAAUCAUCCCAGUGCCACCUAUGGGGACAGUUGGCAAUGGAGCCUGGGCUUGGCGGGGCGGGGUUGGUUUGAGGUCAUGAGACACUCAGCGUGGUUACAUGGAUUUGAAUAACUGGCUUAGUCGGACUGAAAUCGAAUUAUCCGUUUCAUGUAAACACCUUUGUCCGACUAUGUGCGGUCCGACUACGAUCCGACUAACACCCCUGGAUAACUCCAUCCGAUCCAGUUGAUAGUUCGACUAUUGCGGCAUGUAACGGUGAAUCGGAUGAGGAACUGAACUUUGUGUCUUUGCGCAUGCUUGAGAUCCCGACGGCGUCUUCUCUCCGUUAUCAAAUCAGCCGAUAGCGCCAUUCGCAUUCGCUGUACUCCUAUUAACAUCAUGCACAGAGAGUAGAAGGACGUAGCUUCACCUUGCUCUCCGUUCGCCAUCUUUCUCGUAAUGUUGAUGUUGUUGUUGUUGGUAGUGGUGAAGAGCUCAAGUGGAAAUGGCUGUAUCACAACUAGUUGUAAUGAAAACAGCGCCACCUAUCGUAUUGGAUAUGACAUGCGUUCGGCCAAUGAUUCGAUUUAUAGCACUUUCCCCCGAAUUAUACCACCAUGUAAACGCACUGAGUGAACGGUUGUUUUUGGCGUAGGCUACACUCGGCUCACUAACCUACGUGAGAGGAGCCGCUACUGUGGCCACGAGAAACAAUCACAGAAUACGCAAUGCUAAUAUUGUCAUGUCAAGCUCGAACAGGACCCAAAUGCAGACUGGAUUGGCGGGGAGAAUAAAGAAUAGUUCAUUCACAAAGAACCAAAAAUAACGAAAAACACCAGUAGUCCGAGACGUUCUGGUGAAGCUCCCGGCACGUAACGAUCCGGCAGGGACUGGCUCUCCGGACGGCUCUUAAAUACCCCCCUGAUCGGGAACAGCAGCCAAUCACGCAGGCGGCCGCGCACACCAACAACUAGAUCCCGGCGUGGCUGUCGUGACAAAUAUGUGAUAUUACGAAUGCAGUCAUAACUUUAGAUAACGUAAAUGUUUUCUAACAGGAGCUAACAUUAGCCUACAGCUCGUGGAUAUACCAGACUACGUAAGGACGGGAAAGCAAAAUGUUUGAGCAGACGUAGCUUCCUAAGCUUAGAUCACUAUGAACUUUAUUUAUCGAUUUAUUUCCCACAUUUUUUUUCUCCACUUUUGAGUAGAUAUAUAUUUAUCGGUUGUCGGCAGAGAAACCGUGCACAGAUAAAUGAGGAGUGAAGAUAACGCCGACGCGCUUUCAAGAUGCCAGCGGCUCUUCCCAGCAUACGGCUGAUUGAGAGAUGCCCUUUGAAGCCAAAGUGGUUUUCCAAGCGGCAACAAUAAAAAGAUGCUCGCCAUACUACGUGACAACAUAUUACCAAGAAUCAGAUUUCUGCAUUCAAUAUACCGGGGAAAUAUAGUGUGUGCUUAUUUUGUUAGCUAUUCUCCUUGUAGUUGUUGUGCGUUUGUGUGGCAGUGAAGGAAAUAUACAUUUCAAUACAUAUUUAAGGAAUUUCCUUUAACUGUGUCCAUGGCUACAGAGGACUAGUUGAAACAAAAAGCCCCCGGCGAGUGGAAUAUGUGGAUAGUAAAAGGUGAUGAAACAUACUCUGGCUAAUGCUAUUUAAUAUUGCCGUUCGCUGUCUGUCUGGGCGUCUGUCUGUCUCUCUGGGUCUAAUAUUACAUAUUUUUUUAAAUCAGGUUCUGCAUACCUGAUCCGAGGCCUGUUUAUAGAAACUCUAUCCUCCCUGAUGUGAUUGCUUCCUCGUCUCAGGCCUCCCAGUCAUGCCUGACUCACUUCAUGAGCCCCCCCGCAGACAAACAGCGUUUCAUGCUUCACGUAAUGCUUCGUGUGUGUAUUAGGAACGGUUUACUUAAUUGUUUGUGCAUGUGCAAUCCCUGACGUCUUAAGCCCACUCAAGAUCCGUCAGAAUGAGACGUUUCCUCAGUUUUUAGUGCAGUUUGCACAUAUUUCCAGCUGACAAGAGCAGCGGCUGUAGACAAAGUAGUUAUCAGAUAACUGGAUGGUGGCAGGGGAGACUUAUUUUUACCCAUCAAUCAACGACAUCCUGCUGACACUGUAAAAGUUAUUCACAUGGUGAAACUCCCAUGGGGGGAGUUCAUUGGACCGGGCAGCUUGUUUCUCAAUUGAGUGACCCGGGUCAGUACAGUGUCACUUAAGUUAGCGAGGCAGGUCAAUCCAGUCCGGUCCAGGGCUGAUAUGAGGAGAAAUUAAGACCUGCCUAUACAGCUUUUUAAUCCCUGCUAGUUAUAUAGAGCAAAACCUAUAACGGCCAGUAAAUAUAAUGCGUUCUUUCCCCGGCCACAUGCGAAAUCAUCACAUACCAGGUUUGCAGAAAGGUGUAAUGCCAACAUGUUUUGCAGGCAACUGGUUCUGAGCAGUAAUUCAUACAGUUCUUUCUCCUUCCAAAGAAAGCAAUAAAGACUUUUUCUCUUUCUGACUUUAUUGGAGAAAUGUCACCAUGUUCUUAGAUUUCACUUUGGCAAUAAUAGCAUCAUUAUGAAGGACAAAAAUAAAACCCAAGUAGCAAUCAACCACAAUUGAAGCUAUGUAACGCCGGCCGCAUGGGGUCACGGAGAGCGAACCUCACUUGAUCUAACCUGGUCCUGGUUACCUCCAUGACGCAGCAGUACCGCCGCUCCAUCCAGUAUUCAGCACCAUCUGUUGCGGGCACAGCACACGCUAGUUAAUAUGGAAACGCUGGGCCAUGCAUGAUAAAUGGAUAAGGAUAGUGUGAGGGCAGGAAGGACGCACAUGGGGUUCAAAAAUGUAGGAAAGUGGAAAAAAAGGGUCCACGCUAUAGAUUGGAAGGUGCCUUUUGGUCAAGAAGAGAUUUCACGCCCGUUGAUCUCCCAGACUCGACGUACCACACCACGUAUGUGUGCAGUGUGGGAUGGUGAAGAGUUGAUUGACAGAUACAAACAGGCUAACCAAACACUCAGUAGCUGUGUGUGUCUGUGUGUGUGCAUGCGCGUCGGUGUGUACUGACGUCCUGCUGACAGCAGCGUCCUGGCGGCCGCGAUGUGGACCGAUGAAGCUGCUGACAGCCUUGUGUUGUUUCACGGUGCUGCUGGUAGACUGUCGGGCAAGCCGGGGCACAAACGUCCCGGCCUGCCCCCCUCCAGCCCCCCCCCCACCUCCUUUCUGCCUCAUUGCGGCCCGGCCCCGAGGGUUAAAUACACAGGCUUUAUCUCUGGGGUUGAAUAAAGCUGACAAACAGCCUCAUCACCCAUCUCCAUCGCUUGUCAUUGGCUGCAGCAGAUUUAAAGACACCAGACGGAAAUCUUGGCUGUUCGCACUCUUAAGAAAGGGGCCUGAAAAACGAAACAUGUGUCAUUCACUCAGCAUCCCUGUUCAUGCUAUUGUUACCCAGGGUAGCACUGAGCUUAUGUCACCCAGUGUCCAGUCAUCUUUUGUUUCAGCGACGGUGACGUUGUAAAAGACAAAGUCAUUUCCGCCCAAACCCUUAAUAAAAGAUUUCCAGACCUGUUCUGUGGGGAGAUUGUGGAAAAAAACCCCAGUGAAGCAACAUUUACAUGGAAAAGGUGGUCAUCUGAUCCCUGUGGUAGCCUGACUGACCUGUGUGUGUGUGUCGGGGGGUGAGGGGGGGGCAGAGACACAACAGCCUCUCCAUAUCUAUCCAAUCCUGUUAUGAGGAAAAACUCAUUCUGACUUAAAUGUACUGUAAACAUUCAUAAUGAUCUCAGCCCUGCUGGAACGUCCCGGUUGAUUUGUCUUCAUGGCCAUUUUGAUUUUUCUACGGGCAAUUAGUUUUUCAUUUUGAUGAUUAUUCAUUAAAGACGUAUUAAUGCUUUAAACACUGCACACAGAUGUCACAAGUUGCAUGUUCCUCCAUUUAACCUGUUCUCGCAUGCUGUCACCCACAGCUGUCCUGGAGUCAGCGAUGGAGCAGAAGCAUCUAAAAAAGACGAGGAAGAGAAGUGAGGACAACGGCAGAUGUCGACCGCCGCUGGUUCACGAGAGGGCAUGGGCGAACAAGAGACGGGUGCUUGUCCCCGAUUUCCAUUCCCUUCUUAGUGCUUCCUCAUUGAGAGAGAGAGAGAGAGACUCCCGCUUGACGGAGAGUCACUCUAUCAUCUCACCCUCAGACUUCUAUCUCACAUGUCUAUCUGCCGCGCCUUCCCCUCUGCACUCGGACAGCAAUAUAUAUGAUAAGAAUAUGCUAAUUAUAGCAAAGUGGACUAUAGUGGCCAAGGACGUCGGCCAUAAUAAACAGUUAUCAGCAUGACAUGGUUUCAUGUAUAGUGUUAGACUGAUGAAAUACUUGGCGGCGUCGUUUGACUGAGGAGAUAGUGGCUCCUAGGAAAGAAAAACUCAUGUGAGAGUGUGUGUGUGUGAUGACAUCCAUAUUCCCCUCUUUGUGUUUUUAUUUCUUUAUAGCUCCUCUUGUAUGUCAAUAAAAAUGAACCUUUCCCUGUGACAAUGUUUCCCUGCUCACUAGGGAGGUGCUAUGUGCUCAGGAGGUAAACCGAGACAUGCUCUUCACAAAUGCAGCCCAUUUACCACACAGUUAGAAGCAAUCUGGGAGCGUGAACUAGCAAGUGUGGGAUCUGAAUGAGGCCCGAGGUGAGGUGUAGUUGCUGGGAGGGUAUGUGAGAGAGGUGACAUUGUGGUAAAGGUUGUGUCUGUUUGGAAUGCAGCCCGGGAGUCUGGGAGGACAUCUGGAUUGAAGAUUGACCUGUCGGACCUGCGAAUGAUCUACAGCCUGCUGGAACCUAAGGCACAAAAACAGGCCGACUCACACACACAUUAAGUAAUGUGCACUUACCUGAAGCACACAAAUUACAAACAAGCAUGUCUCAACCCACACACGCCCUGUGUGAUAAUAUCUGUGACCUUCUUCAGAUAUGCACAUGCAGCCGCACACGUAGACUCACACACACUUACAGGUGAUUGCAGAAGAUUGCAAUUAAUUGGCUUCAUGGUUGCUGUUAAAACUAUUUGUGAAAAGAUCACAGCUAUAACAUGCGACCACCAUGUAGGACUUUCCUGCACAGCGGAGGACGCAGGUGAACUAUAUUAUUGAAGUAGUCCUAUCACAAGCAGAGAGUGUAUGUGGGGCCGACAACCACUCACAACUAGUUUUGAAGAGACGUCCAACAGGUACCGUUUGGGUGUAGACACAAAGAGUGGGAUUGGUUAACGUUAAAAGCAUCAGGGCAGGAAAACCAAAGGCAGAGUAGAGCAGGUCCUGAUUAUCAGCCACGAGCCACUUCAAGUUUCGUGAAAAUAAGCCGUCAGGCAGGUUUUCAGCGUUACCACCAAUGUCAAGGAAUCACGUUGCCAAUUUGUAAUUUCUUGGAUGAUCUCAAUAACAUAGGCCAGCAAUUUGCCCCCUCUCCCUUAUGCUAGUCCAACUUAUGCUAUAUUUAACAGAGAUGAGAUGGUGUUAUCGAUCAAGAACGUGAUUAACUGCAUUUCCCCCUACCUGUUCAUUUAAAGUGAUGAUUAAAGGUUAUGUAGCCCAAAAAAUGAGGUUGAUUUAACCACGAGACCGCUCUUACUAAAUAAAUAAAAUACUUCAUGAGAAAAAACGGUUUAGCGGACCUGCGCUUACAUCCAGGCAUCAGACAGCCGCCAAUGACUGUAAAAUGCUUCUAGUGAAAGCAGCCGGGGUCACCGGCAGGUCAGGGAUCAAACACAUCUCUGGGACAGCGAGAGGAGUAGGAGGGAGAAGAUGAGAAGAACAGAAUGCUAAGAUACGGAGAGGGAGGACCGGAGAGCUAAUGAGACGAACAGAGGAGUGUGGCACACAAGGAGGAGGACGACACACUUCACUAACGCAGCUUAGCCGGUGUCUCACUUCACCGCGUUUAUGUGUGUGUGUGUGUGUGUGUGACGCUGAGAGAGCAACAGACUCAAAGCAGCUAACUAAACAGCAAAAGGACAAAGCUGAGUAGAAGUGCAGCUCUGCUCUAGAAAUAGCAAAAGCCUCCCCAGUGGAGAAACCAGAUGGAUGGCGCACAAACGCACGCACACACACACACACACACGCACAAACAACACACACACACACACACACACACACACACACACACACACACAAACACACACAAACUUGUUGACAGCCACCCUUGACUGGUGUGUGCGCGACCGUUUGUGUGUUUGUGCAGGUUGCGGUUUGAUGGAUGAACUGAUUAUUGCCAUUUUGGGACCCAGAUAACAGUGUGCACAAGGAACUUUGAUUUGAAACACAAUGUAGGUAAGCGCACUGAAACCGUGAGUGUGUGUGAGUGUGUGAGUGUGUGUGUGUGUGUGUGUGUGUGUGUGUGUGUGUCUAUGGUUUAUGCCUCAGUGGUCAUUGUAGCAGACACAGUGGCACUUUGCAUCCCCACCGCAUGCAUAUCAGACGCUCAGCCAGACGGAGUUAUCAUUUCUAAACAUAAGCAUUGCAAUAUGCAUAUAGACUGUGUGUAGGAAUGGACGUUUGUCUGUCUCUUUGGCCCUCAGGAUAGGUUAAACAUUGCUGUCUUUUUAUAGCGUCAGCAACUGGACGAGUUCGUGUGCCUCAUAGUGAGGACGUCAGUGACUUAGAGAAAGACCUUUGUGUGUGUCUGCAAGAAAAGAAACCAGCGUAGAAAGAUACUCAUGAUACCAGCAGUGGUGAGUGGAGAGCAAAUCGUAGGGGCUUGGUGUAGUUGUGUUGACGUGUUUGCGUCCGUGCAUGCACACUCCUGCAUGUCCUUGGGCCUUUCAGCACAGCUUUGUGCCCGGCUGUCAAGGCAGUCAUAAAAACCUUUGAGUCAGCCCGUGUGUGUGCUCGCUUUUUUUCUGGCGCGCGCGCACACACACACACACACACACACACACACACUCAUACACGCACGCCGUAUUUUUCCAUUCCACUGUGAAAAAACCGACAGUGCUGUCAGAGAAGAAGAUCAUUCACCUGACCUGCAUUUCACACGCUCAUUGCACUCGCCUGGGAAACAGACAUAUCACUGUUAUUUUCAACAUGUGCAGAAGUCUAAUCUGGGAGCAUGUGGCCUACUGUAGGGUCAUAGGUCAUCACUUUUCAGGUGGCCGAGGUGCAUAUUCUCAGCCCGGUGUAUAGUUAACAGAUCUCUAACCCUGUGAUGAAGCAUGGUGUCAUGUUUGCUAGAAUCCGGCCCAGUUAACACAAACCGGUCAGCCAUUCAACUAGAGGUUUAUUCAGUAGCUCACGUCACGUGGAGAAGAUUAGCAUGAACAUUGUGUCACGUAGGGCAUGUGGGACUAUGGCAGAGAAGCGGGACAGCAGAUUUGUGUAGUUUCUAUAUUGUAUUCAGUUUUUUUUACAUUUCUGCUUAAAUUAAUAGAUCCUAUAUAAAAAGUGGACUUGACCCUAUCUGGAUAAGAAGGGGAACAGGGGAAGAGUCAGGCCUCGCAGAGAAGACACUAAAUUACCAGCAAACCUUUCAGGUAACUAACUCUGAUAUUAACUGAUCAUUUCCUUGAACAAUGCAGUGGUAGAGAUGUCAUUAUUAAUAUAAAUACAAACAACAUGAACUUCAGCCUGUAUUGAAUAAGACUUGAAAUUAGCCAUUGUGACCAUAAAAGUCAUGUCUACAAAGUUUUUAUUACAAUAUUGCAUCCCCCAAACG